Molecule: ribosomal RNA, 468 nt
Filed under: uncultured bacterium
Lineage: Bacteria
Description: partial 16S ribosomal RNA
Rfam family: Bacterial small subunit ribosomal RNA
Source: RNAcentral
GACGAACGCUGGCGGCGUGCUUAACACAUGCAAGUCGAACGGAAAGGCCCUGCUUUUGUGGGGUGCUCGAGUUGCGAACGGGUGAGUAACACGUGAGUUACCUGCCCUUGACUUUGGGAUAACUUCAUGAAACUUGGGCUAAUACCGGAUAGGAGCUCCUGCUGCAUGGUGGGGGUUGGAAAGUUUCGGCGGUUGGGGAUGGACUCGCGGCUUAUCAGCUUGUUGGUGGGGUAGUGGCUUACCAAGGCUUUGACGGGUAGCAGGCCUGAGAGGGUGACCGGCCACAUUGGGACUGAGAUACGGCCCAGACUACUACGGGAGGCAGCAGUGGGGAAUAGUGCACAAUGGGCGGAAGCAUGAUGCAGCAACGCCGCGUGCGGGAUGACGGCAUUCGGGUUGUAAACCGCUUUCGCCUGUGACGAAGCGUGAGUGACGGUAAUGGGUAAAGAAGCACCGGCUAACUACGUG